CUAAAAAUAUAAAAAUUAGCCAAGUGUGUUGGCAUGUGCCUGUAGUCCCAGCUACUUGGGAGGCUGAGGCAGGAGAAUUGCUUGAACCCGGGAGGCGGAGGCUAGACGGAGCCAAGAUGGUGCACUGUACCCCAGUUUGGGUGACAGAGCAAGACUCUGUCUC
This is a long non-coding RNA of Cebus imitator (Panamanian white-faced capuchin), 163 nucleotides long. RefSeq lists it as uncharacterized. The transcript is spliced from 2 exons. NCBI's taxonomy places the organism in Eukaryota, Metazoa, Chordata, Mammalia, Primates, Cebidae. The record is from RefSeq and is a predicted model, not a curated record.